Small nuclear RNA from Macadamia integrifolia, 126 nucleotides. NCBI's taxonomy places the organism in Eukaryota, Viridiplantae, Streptophyta, Magnoliopsida, Proteales, Proteaceae. The record is from RefSeq and is a predicted model, not a curated record.
GUAUUCUUUUGGAAGGAGAAACGGCUGAUAUCUCCCCUAACAGGGUCGAGAACGGACGUCGGGCUGUCCUGUUACCACAUAUCCGAUUUAGGCUUCCCACUUACGUGGAUCUUAUACCAAAUUUGU